GCNNNGCCUANGGAUGAACGCUGGCGGCGUGCCUAACACAUGCAAGUCGAGCGAUCUUCUUCGGAAGAGAGCGGCGGACGGGUGAGUAACGCGUGGGUAACCUGCCCUGUACACACGGAUAACAUACCGAAAGGUAUGCUAAUACGGGAUAAUAUACUUUUAUCGCAUGGUAGAAGUAUCAAAGCUCCGGCGGUACAGGAUGGACCCGCGUCUGAUUAGCUAGUUGGUAAGGUAACGGCUUACCAAGGCGACGAUCAGUAGCCGACCUGAGAGGGUGAUCGGCCACAUUGGAACUGAGACACGGUCCAAACUCCUACGGGAGGCAGCAGUGGGGAAUAUUGCACAAUGGGCGAAAGCCUGAUGCAGCAACGCCCCGUGAGCGAUGAAGGCCUUCCGGUCCUAAAGCUCUGUCCUCCGGAAGAAAAUGACGGUACCUGAGGGGGAAGCCACGGCUAACUACCUGGCAACCGCCGCGGUAAUUCGUAGGUGGCGAGCGUUAUCCGGAUUUACCGGCGUAAAGGAUGGGUAGGUGGAAUUUUUAAUGGGGAUGUGAAAUACCCCGGGCUCCAACCUGGGAACUGCAUUCCCAACUGGGAAUUCUAUAAGUGCCGGAGAAAGAAAGCGGAAAUUUCCUAUGUAGCGGUGAAAUGUCGUCAGAUUUNGAAAAAACACCCAUGGCGAAGGCCGGUUUUUUGGACUGUAACUGACAACUGAAGCAUGAAAACCUGGGGGAGCCAAACAGGAAUAAAAUACCCCGGGAGUCCACCCCCCCAACCAAGGGGGACUCGGGGUAGGGGGUUUUGAAUACCCCGUGCCCCCCUAAAACCAAUAAGAACCCCCCCUGGGGAGGACGGUCGCANACUAAACAUCAAAGAAUUGCGGGGGCCCGCCCAACUAACGCGAACAUGGGGUUUAAUUUUAAAAAUACCCAAGAAACUUUAUUAU
This 945-nucleotide ribosomal RNA is filed under the name uncultured Clostridium sp. RNAcentral describes it as "partial 16S ribosomal RNA". It matches the Rfam family "Bacterial small subunit ribosomal RNA", at positions 1 to 977 of the family's 1533-position model. The record is from RNAcentral. Lineage: Bacteria; Bacillati; Bacillota; Clostridia; Eubacteriales; Clostridiaceae.